UAGCUCACAAAUCUCUUGAGAUUCCAACUGACACAAAGUCCUGACCCACUGAUUCUCUCUCUCGGAGAAAACCGAAAAAAGAAGAGAAAGAGAAAACGUUAAAAAGGAGAAAAGGGAAGAGACUUUUCUUUUUCCCAAGAGGCACCCACUCAAGUACUCUCUUUUUGAACAAAAGGAAAGAAGGAAAAUCAAAAAAGAAAAACCUCUUCUUCUCCCUAACAAUUUCCGUCACCUCUUUAUUUUCUUCAUCCACUCAAUUUCUCUUGAACACCAUCACUCUACCCUAAGUAUCUCCCUGCUGGAACGAAAAAAGAAAAACAAAAAGAAGAACCUUUGCUCUUCCUCUCGCCACGCCAUCAAACAACUCACCAUAACCACAAAUCCAUCGUCUUCUUCCUACCAAUCUCCACACCGCCACCGCGAUUUUUGUUUCCACCGGAAACAAUCCUUCAACCACUCGUCUCCGACUUCACAACUCACCAACACCACCGUCACACAACCCAGCUCGAACACCACACCCUCCACCGAAACCCACCGUCCAAACACCAACUCCGACGAACUCCACCGCCAAACAUCCGUACCCACCCCCUCAACCUUGUCGCGCCGCCGCCGACAGCGAUCUCACGAAAUUACAACCUCCAUCAUCGAUCGUUCACCACCGUCAAUAAACGUGCACUCCUCCACCCUCUUGCCGUAAACAUCUCUUCCCACCCACAUCUCUUCCGACUCAUAAGUUCCGAAAUUGAAAAGGUUGACGGAUUUACUUCAAAUAUAAUUUGGGCAGCAUAAUCUCAGGAUAUUAAUCACCGCUUACCGCAUUAACCCAACUCAGUACAGUCUAUAAGCUUGUUUUAUUUUUCGGUUGGCUUUGCUUUCGGUUAUGGAUCGUUUCAAACCCGUAUUCAUCGUCCAAUUUGGCUAUAUUGCUUCGAUAUUUAUGUUGUUGAGAAAUAAUGCAGCAUUUGUUCUUAUACUUUGCGAUUACUCUGGUUCGUAAGUUUAUUAUUUUGGAUUUGGUGUUAAUAUGUAGUAAAAUAAAUAUGUGUAUAAUUUAAAGAGAUUUAUGGAAAUACCAUGAUACUUUGUGUUAGAUAGGGACUUGAUUUGGAUGCACAUUUUAAGUGAUAUACUGCAAAUGUUGUACUAGACCAGUGAAGAGGAAUGAGAUUCGUCUCUAUUUGCCUUAACUUCUUUUUUCGGUUGGUGUGAUUAUACAAAGUCACAUGCCUAGUGGUGUGCAAAAAACCGGUUAUCCAUAACCAAAUUGGUAUCCAAAUUAUUCUACUUUAAAAAACCAAACCAAAUGCUAAAAUAAAAAUUUGGGCAUCCAUUUUAUUAUCCAAAUAUAAACCAUUAUCCAUUAUAAAAAUUUGGUUUUGUUAUUAAGUAUCCAAUUUUUACUAUGCGUUAAAUUUUUGUAUUUGUCUAUUUUUAUGUUUUA
RNAcentral lists this long non-coding RNA (1441 nucleotides) under Lathyrus oleraceus (garden pea). Its description in RNAcentral is "Pisum sativum (pea) long non-coding RNA (PSAT_LNC026240)". Lineage: Eukaryota; Viridiplantae; Streptophyta; Magnoliopsida; Fabales; Fabaceae. The record is from RNAcentral.